Molecule: long non-coding RNA, 1183 nt
Filed under: Zonotrichia albicollis (white-throated sparrow)
Lineage: Eukaryota; Metazoa; Chordata; Aves; Passeriformes; Passerellidae
Description: lncRNA (ENSZALG00000012351.1)
Source: RNAcentral
GCUAAACCACAACAGCAAAUUGAGCACUUUUCUUUUUUUCUAGAGACUUCCAUGAUGAGUUUCAUGCAUCUCACAAAUAAAACACAGUUUGCUGUAAGGAGGGCUUACUCUUGGCUUGGCCUCAGCCAUGCCUCAAGCAGUAUCAAUGCCAUCUGGGACACCUGCUCACAUCCAUGCUUGCUUCAAGGCCUUCCAGUGAGCCCCUGAGCUGGACCAACCUCAUCUGGACUGGUCUGUUCAUCCUGGUUGAAGAAACCUGGCAAGGAUAUCACUUUACUUCUUCAGCCUGGAAAUCAGAACAUCUCCAAAGAGAGUGGGACAAAAUGAAAGAAAGAAAAAAACAUUUUGAAUUUCCUGGGAUGGAGUUAUUUGAGACUUAAAAGGUGUUGAGAAGUUUUGCUGUUCAUUGUUCUAAUAAGGUGCAUGUCAUUGAUGUCAACCUAAUGUGCUGAGGAAAUGUCACACAUGUCUGCAAUUGGCUACUUCUGGCUGGCCAAGCACAGCUGGAAGCCUGGAAAACAGAUGUUACUUUCAAUCAAGCAAGGGUCAGAGCAGGCUUGGGACUUGGAAUGUCUAUAUAUUUCCAUCCAAAAAUGAUCCUUGGGUAGUUUCAGUGGACCAGUAAUUAUUUUAGCAGCUUUUCUGUUUUUGUUGUUGGUUUUUUUUAAUCUUCAGUAUUAUGCCUGUAGAACAGAGGAACAAAAACCAGUGGGCAUGCAUCCAGGGAGCUUGGGACAAUGAUGGAGAGGAGUCCAACACAAGAACAUCAUUGCUGUGUUCUCUGAGCCAUGCCUGGUAACUUGGUAACACUUAACCGUAUACAGUGAACAGUUUUCUAUUGACUAAAACAUAAACAUCUGAAGCCACCUGGCUGAAGUCUAUUUUGCAAGACUGAGAACAGCAGUCAUUUUAUGACUCUUUAUCCUGAUAGAAUUCUCUGUUCUUUAUAUUUUGUUCUCUGUGUGUCAUCCUCAAAAGAUUGAACAGGGUUGUUUUGUGACUGGCAUGUAAAGAAGAGAACUUGGAAACAAUGCACUGUACAGCUUCCAGUAUGGACUGCACAGAAGCCUUGAAAGAGAACCAAGGCUUUGCUUCCUAGCUACAAAUGUGAAGCUGUAAAUCUGGACUUGGUUCACAGAAAUCAGAGUUAAGUUUCUUUCAAUAAAAGAAAGAUUUUUUUGCA